GCCAGCCCGCUCAGAACUUAAAGGAAUUGACGGGGCCGCACAAGCGGUGGAGUAUGUGGUUUAAUCGAUGCAACGCGAAGAACCUUACCUGGUCUUGACAUCCCGGAGACCCUUAGGAAACUAGGGGGUGCUUCCAUCUGGAAGAAUCUGGAGACAGGUGCUGCAUGGCUGUCGUCAGCUCGUGUCGUGAGAUGUUGGGUUAAGUCCCGCAACGAGCGCAACCCUUGCCUUUAGUUGCCAGCAGUUCGGCUGGGCACUCUAAAGGGACUGCCGGUGUUAAACCGGAGGAAGGUGGGGAUGACGUCAAGUCCUCAUGGCCUUUAUGACCAGGGCUACACACGUACUACAAUGGCCGAUACAAAGGGCAGCGACACUGCGAGGUGAAGCCAAUCCCGUAAAAUCGGUCUCAGUCCGGAUUGGAGUCUGCAACUCGACUCCAUGAAGUUGGAAUCGCUAGUAAUCGUGGAUCAGCAUGCCACGGUGAAUACGUUCCCGGGCCUU
This 501-nucleotide ribosomal RNA is filed under the name uncultured Desulfobulbus sp. RNAcentral describes it as "bacterial SSU rRNA". It matches the Rfam family "Bacterial small subunit ribosomal RNA", at positions 903 to 1382 of the family's 1533-position model. Lineage: Bacteria; Pseudomonadati; Thermodesulfobacteriota; Desulfobulbia; Desulfobulbales; Desulfobulbaceae. The record is from RNAcentral.